CAGCAGCCGCGGGAAUACGAAGGGUGCAAGCGUUAAUCGGAAUUACUGGGCGUAAAGCGUGCGUAGGCGGUGAGUUAAGUCUGCUGUGAAAUCCCCGGGCUCAACCUGGGAAUGGCAGUGGAUACUGGCUCGCUAGAGUGUGUCAGAGGAUGGUGGAAUUCCCGGUGUAGCGGUGAAAUGCGUAGAGAUCGGGAGGAACAUCAGUGGCGAAGGCGGCCAUCUGGGACAACACUGACGCUGAGGCACGAAAGCGUGGGGAGCAAACAGGAUUAGAUACCCCUGUAGUCCCUGUCUCUUAUAC
This 301-nucleotide ribosomal RNA is filed under the name uncultured bacterium. RNAcentral's name for it is "partial 16S ribosomal RNA". It matches the Rfam family "Bacterial small subunit ribosomal RNA", at positions 509 to 807 of the family's 1533-position model. The record is from RNAcentral.